Dama dama (fallow deer) is the source of this 2849-nucleotide long non-coding RNA. RefSeq lists it as uncharacterized. Lineage: Eukaryota; Metazoa; Chordata; Mammalia; Artiodactyla; Cervidae. The record is from RefSeq and is a predicted model, not a curated record. The transcript is spliced from 3 exons.
CUUUCCUCAGCACCAGCAACCUCCGAGGCUUGAAAACCUAAAGGCGGUGCUGGGAACAUGAUUCAUCCCCAGACGAAGAGGAGAAAAACAAGGCUUCCUUUUCCCGCCGGCUUCCUCCUCCUCCUCCUCUCACGCUGCUUCCCAUGAAAAAGGCUCUGUGGGGCACCCCAGACGCGCCCCGGGCUGAGGUCGGGGCGGCGUGGGGACAGGGCGGGGGGCUGCCAUCCUGCACACCGCAGGCGAGCGCCACAAGCGUCUCGGUCCCACAAAGUCAGGGACGCGGCCACUACCCCGGGCGCGCGCUGCAGCGCCCUGCCAGAUGCAAACCAGUGAUUUAACGUGAGAAAAAUGCUAGCCUGAGACUUCCGGGGACAAGUCUCAGGAUCCACAAGGGCUUACGGAAGUGGCAGGCAAGGCUUAGAGAUCAAGAGGAGCGUCAGGCUGCGGACGUUCCCCUCAAGGGGCCACAGGAGGAGUCCUUGGCUUGGCCUUGCCAGUGUGGGUGAGGGGGGUCCAACGCCACAAGCCAGAGGAGAAGAGAUUUAAUACUGAAGUUUCCAUCAGUGUCACCAAGAGAGCUGAUGGGGAGGCUUUCCAGGAGCAAUAAAAGAGGCAGAGAUGGGCCGGUGAGUCACCAUGUCCUCUGGCCAGGCCGUCAAGUGGCUGACCAGCUCAGAGGAGAGUGAGGCAGCGAACCCCACUAGGACGCACCUCCCUGCUCCCCCGGACACGCGGCAGCUGUGGCUCAGCCAGCUCAAAGCCUCCAGCCCGUCCGUCCCGGUUUCAUCCGCGGGGUGGGGUGGACCGGCCCUCCCCUUCCCCAUACGCCCACAGCGAGCAUCGCACUGUGACGCUACCAACGCGGACACUGAACCAGAUGUUGCUUUUCAUGAGAGUGACGAUGGAAAACAGACGAUUGGAGAGAGAGUAUAAAGCGCCUCCACUUGAGCAACUCGUCUGUUGAAACUAAAUCUGCUUCAUUUAAAAUACCUGAGCAUUUGAGGGAAGACGAGAAGGAUUCACAGCAACUGCACUGCGCCCACAGAGGAUUUCCUUUUCCAUUUCAGUUUAGGUGUUUGAUCAGGUGCUGCUGACCCAGGAGAGUGAGGCCCGAGGCCCCCUCCCCGGCGUUUCUUCCACGCCCGGCUCUGGAGGCUGCAGGGAGGUUCAAAGAGUAAAGGGGAAUGGAAGACCUAGAGGGCAGCCACCAGCCGACCAGCAGUUCCACUGGCAGUACCUCUGCUUUAGUCCUUUCUCGCCUUUCCCAAGAAGAAACCUGAACGCUAGCCAGCUGAUGGCAGUGGCAAGAAGCAAUUAAGAUGGAAGAGAGUAAGACAGAGCUUUAAAAACAUCCCUUCACCAACCUGUGCGCCUCACAGGAAACAGGUCUCAGGGAACAGGCACACAAAUGUUAAAUUUUAGUAAAAUUACCAGCCGCUUGAUGAUAGAAAAGGAAGGAGGGAAGAAAGGCAGACAGCCAGAUCAGAUUUCAUCUGGAAAAGUGGUGAUAGGAUAAUGUAACCUCUAGGACAGGUCUUCUGGGGGCAAGAUUUAUUCAUAACAUUUACUGAGUGCUUCCUGUAGGCCAGGUGCACCCACAUGUACCAUUUCGUUUAUUCUUCAUAAAAAGCUAAAGUGUGAAAUGUCUCUGUCCACUUUACAGAUGCAGAAAAGUACCAUGGAGCUUUAGUCGGUUUAUCAGGUCACCUGGGCUUCCCUGGUGCCUCAGUAGUAAAAAAUCCACCUGCCAAUGCAGGAGACGCAGGUUUGAUCCCUGGGUCAGGAAGAUCCUCUGGAGAAGGAAAUGGCAACCCACUCUAGUAUUCUUGCCUGGAGCAUCAAUCUCAGGGACAGAGGAGCCUGGUGAACUAAAGUCCAUGGGGUCGCAAAGAGUGGGACACAACUUAGCAACUAAACAACAACGAGGUCACACAACUAAUGAGUCUGCAUUAAAUCCAAUUUGAGAAAUCUUUCUUUCUAUAUGCAUCUUAUUUUGUCUUGAGUAAUCCCCUAAACUGGAAGAAAGAACUCUCAGCGAGAAAACAUAAGUCAAAAUUUCAGGAAACAAAACUAGAACUCACUUCUCGUCUCUUAUCACUGGCAUUCUUUUUUUUAAUCAUUGGCAUUCUUACAUCUGAUUUUAUAGAAACGAAAAAGGACAGAAAAAGACUAUUUUUUCAAUAAAAAUGACAAAUGGUUUCUAAUUUUAUAAAGUACUGGUAGAAAAAGUGUGUUAUUACACUAAAUGCACUCAACUUCUUUGCCAUCAUUUUAAUACUUGACAUUUAGUUUUUUUUAAUAGCUUCUCACUAUGUUAUUGUCACAAAAAUCAGAACUCACACAUCCAAUACAGAGACGAAGAGUCUUACUGACAACUGGUCUCCAGGUCUCCUUCAGAAUGAGCGGCGGUACUGUUGUCAGUUUUCCUCUUGGGAACAAGCGUUAGUUACUUCUUACGGCAGCUUUUCAACGAGCAUCUGAAGAUACUCAUCAUGGCUCACCACCCUCCUCAGAGCUUCUCCUCUGGCUCGUGGUUCCCACAGCUGUUCCCCGUGCCACGGGUACCCGACUGAGGGCCCUUCAGUUAGUGAGUGUCCCUCACGUGAUGUGAACACCAAGACAAAAACCCUCUGGUGCUGAGGACACCGGGACGACUGGGAUCAAACUGCCUUUCUUCUCAACACACACGCCACACUGCUGGACGGAUACCAGCUUGUGGUCGAGUCAGUCACUUCCCACACCUCUCUGCUGGACGUAUCAAAACAGGUCUCUUUCAUACUAUGAUCACGUGAUUUUACUGUAAACCCUACUUUACAUAUUUUCCUCUUUAAAGUGUACUAGGUAUUUUG